UACGUAGGGUGCAAGCGUUGUCCGGAAUUAUUGGGCGUAAAGAGCUCGUAGGCGGUUUGUCGCGUCGGCUGUGAAAACUCGGGGCUCAACCCCGAGCCUGCAGUCGAUACGGGCAAACUAGAGUGUGGUAGGGGAGACUGGAAUUCCUGGUGUAGCGGUGAAAUGCGCAGAUAUCAGGAGGAACACCGGCGGCGAAGGCGGGUCUCUGGGCCAUAACUGACGCUGAGGAGCGAAAGCGUGGGGAGCGAACAGG
This 253-nucleotide ribosomal RNA is filed under the name uncultured bacterium. RNAcentral's name for it is "partial 16S ribosomal RNA". It matches the Rfam family "Bacterial small subunit ribosomal RNA", at positions 524 to 776 of the family's 1533-position model. The record is from RNAcentral.